GAUGAGAACGUAGUGAAAUGCGAUAAGUAAUGUGAAUUGCAGAAUUCAGUGAAUCAUCGAAUCUUUGAACGCACAUUGCGCCCCCUGGUAUUCCGGGGGGCAUGCCUGUCCGAGCGUCAUUACAACCCUCAAGCUCAGCUUGGUAUUGGGCCCCGCCGACCCGGCGGGCCCUAAAGUCAGUGGCGGUGCCGUCCGGCUCCGAGCGUAGUAAUUCUUCUCGCUCUGGAGGUCCGGUCGUGUGCUCGCCAGCAACCCCCAAUUUUUUUCAGGUUGACCUCGGAUCAGGUAGGGAUACCCGCUGAACUUAAGCAUAUCAAUAAGCGGAGGA
RNAcentral lists this unclassified non-coding RNA (328 nucleotides) under soil metagenome. Its description in RNAcentral is "partial contains 5.8S ribosomal RNA, internal transcribed spacer 2, and large subunit ribosomal RNA". The stretch from base 5 to 119 matches the Rfam family "5.8S ribosomal RNA", at positions 40 to 154 of the family's 154-position model. The record is from RNAcentral.